UACGAAGGGGGCUAGCGUUACUCGGAUUUACUGGGCGUAAAGGGCGCGUAGGCGGCUUGUACAGUCAGACGUGAAAUUCCUGGGCUCAACCUGGGGGCUGCGUUUGAUACGUAUGGGCUUGAGUUCGGAAGAGGGUCGUGGAAUUCCCAGUGUAGAGGUGAAAUUCGUAGAUAUUGGGAAGAACACCGGUGGCGAAGGCGGCUCACUGGCUCAUUACUGACGCUCAGGCGCGAUAGCGUGGGGAUCAAACAGG
Molecule: ribosomal RNA, 253 nt
Filed under: uncultured bacterium
Lineage: Bacteria
Description: partial 16S ribosomal RNA
Rfam family: Bacterial small subunit ribosomal RNA
Source: RNAcentral